RNAcentral lists this ribosomal RNA (458 nucleotides) under uncultured bacterium. RNAcentral describes it as "partial 16S ribosomal RNA". It matches the Rfam family "Bacterial small subunit ribosomal RNA", at positions 338 to 795 of the family's 1533-position model. The record is from RNAcentral.
CCUACGGGAGGCUGCAGUGAGGAAUAUUGGUCAAUGGGCGAGAGCCUGAACCAGCCAAGUCGCGUGAGGGAGUACUGCCCUAUGGGUUGUAAACCUCUUUUGUCGGGGAGCAAAAGCCGGACGUGUUCGGCUGUGAGAGUACCCGCAGAAAAAGCAUCGGCUCACUCCGCGCCAGCAGCCGCGGUAAUACGGAGGAUGCGAGCGUUAUCCGGAUGUAUUGGGGUUAAAGGGGGCGCAGGCGGGUAUUUAAGUCAGCGGUCAAAUCGUGGGGCUCAACCCCAUCCAGCCGUUGAAACUGGGGAUCUAGAGUGUGCGAGAGGUAUGCGGAAUGCGUGGUGUAGCGGUGAAAUGCAUAGAUAUCACGCAGAACCCUGAUUGCGAAGGCAGCAUACCGGUGCACAACUGACGCUCAGGCACGAAAGCGUGGGUAUCGAACAGGAUUAGAUACCCCGGUAGUC